GGAAAGUUGAUGCUUUUGCCGAGAAUCUGGUUAGUGGAUUAGACAGAAGCUGGCAAAGUCCUGCAGGAGUGAAAGCAAAACUCAUAGAUAGCAAAGCUUCUAAAGGGUUGUAUUACAUCGAGUACACUCUCCAAAAUCCCGGUGAAAGUCU
Long non-coding RNA from Nicotiana attenuata, 151 nucleotides. RefSeq lists it as uncharacterized. The transcript is spliced from 3 exons. Lineage: Eukaryota; Viridiplantae; Streptophyta; Magnoliopsida; Solanales; Solanaceae. The record is from RefSeq and is a predicted model, not a curated record.